Molecule: unclassified non-coding RNA, 374 nt
Filed under: fungal sp.
Lineage: Eukaryota; Fungi
Description: partial internal transcribed spacer region
Rfam family: Eukaryotic small subunit ribosomal RNA (bases 1-46)
Source: RNAcentral
AAGUCGUAACAAGGUCUCCGUAGGUGAACCUGCGGAGGGAUCAUUAACACGUAUCCACGUAUCAAACCAAACCGCGCACUAGGAACAGAAGAAACCUCCCUGCUAGGAAGUAUGAUGUUCCAAUCUGACUUGGAAAAGAAAUGCUGUCAGUUAGCAUCGUGUAGUGGGUCCUUCGGGACGAUGCUCUUUGACUGGAGGGAAAAGCUCAAGGCAUAGUAUUUUCCAAGUAUAAAAAUUUUCUACCUCUACGGGAAGCCAACCUAUUUCACCCCCAUAUAACCACUUGACUGAUGACGCUCGUGCGGAGAAAUCCGAUUCGAGUUUUCGAUAUUCGAACUAAAGCACAACUCUUAGCAACGGAUAUCUUGGUUCUC